Molecule: ribosomal RNA, 253 nt
Filed under: uncultured bacterium
Lineage: Bacteria
Description: partial 16S ribosomal RNA
Rfam family: Bacterial small subunit ribosomal RNA
Source: RNAcentral
UACGAAGGGGACUAGCGUUGUUCGGAAUUACUGGGCGUAAAGCGCACGUAGGCGGCCAACUAAGUCAGACGUGAAAUCCCCAGGCUCAACCUGGGAACUGCGUCUGAUACUGGAUGGCUUGAAUCCGGGAGAGGGAUGCAGAAUUCCAGGUGUAGCGGUGAAAUGCGUAGAUAUCUGGAGGAAUACCGGUGGCGAAGGCGGCAUCCUGGACCGGCAUUGACGCUGAGGAGCGAAAGCUAGGGGAGCAAACGGG